RNAcentral lists this ribosomal RNA (465 nucleotides) under Vreelandella stevensii. Its description in RNAcentral is "partial 16S ribosomal RNA". It matches the Rfam family "Bacterial small subunit ribosomal RNA", at positions 338 to 795 of the family's 1533-position model. The record is from RNAcentral. Lineage: Bacteria; Pseudomonadati; Pseudomonadota; Gammaproteobacteria; Oceanospirillales; Halomonadaceae.
CCUACGGGGGGCAGCAGUGGGGAAUAUUGGACAAUGGGCGAAAGCCUGAUCCAGCCAUGCCGCGUGUGUGAAGAAGGCCUUCGGGUUGUAAAGCACUUUCAGUGGGGAAGAAAGCCUUGGGGCUAAUACCCUCGAGGAAGGACAUCACCCACAGAAGAAGCACCGGCUAACUCCGUGCCAGCAGCCGCGGUAAUACGGAGGGUGCGAGCGUUAAUCGGAAUUACUGGGCGUAAAGCGCGCGUAGGCGGUCUGAUAAGCCGGUUGUGAAAGCCCCGGGCUCAACCUGGGAACGGCAUCCGGAACUGUCAGGCUAGAGUGCAGGAGAGGAAGGUAGAAUUCCCGGUGUAGCGGUGAAAAGCGUAGAGAUCGGGAGGAAUACCAGUGGCGAAGGCGGCCUUCUGGACUGACACUGACGCUGAGGUGCGAAAGCGUGGGUAGCAAACAGGAUUAGAUACCCUUGUAGUC